CAAAUCUAGGCAAACCAAAUCUCCAUGAUAAAAUCCAAGUUUUUCUCAACAACCAUAACCCUCCAACUUCCCCCAAACACUCCAAAAACAAGACUUUUAGAACAAACCUGCUUAACACUUCUUCAAUCCCACUGCAACACAUUCCCAAAACUAACUCAAAUCCAAACCUUCAUCAUCAAAACUGGCCUCCAAAACAAUCCAUUAGUCCUCACCAAAUUCGCUUCAUCUUCCUCCAACAUCAACGCCAUUCACUACGCUUCCUCAUUCCUAUUCCCAUCUCACCAAACCCCAUCUCCCUCCUACGAUGCAUUCCUCUUCAACACCGUUAUCAGAGCCUACGCUCAAACUCAAACCCAUCAUUCUAAAUCAAAGGCGCUGGAAUUCUACAGAACCAUGCGACGCUACGGUGUGUCGCCUAAUAAAUUCACGUUUCCGUUUGUUCUUAAGGGUUGUGCUGGUGUUGGGAGUUUGAGAUUGGGGAAGUUGGUUCAUGGGGAGGUGGUGAAGUUUGGGUUUGAAGAUGAUCUUCAUGUUGUGAAUACAAUGAUUCAUAUGUAUUGUUGUUGUGAGGGGGAAGAAGGGGUUGAGUUUGCGGAGAAGGUGUUUGAUGAUUGUCCUAAGACGGAUUUGGUGACGUGGAGUGCUAUGAUUGGUGGGUUUGUGCGUUUGGGGCGGUCUGCAUGUGCUAUUGGUUUGUUUAGGGAAAUGCAGGUCAUGGGUGUUUGCCCUGAUGAGAUCACAAUGGUUUCUGUUUUGUCUGCAUGUGCUGAUUUGGGAGCACUUGAGCUUGGAAAAUGGCUGGAAUCAUACAUUGAGAGGAAAAACAUUCCAAAGUCUGUGGAACUCUGUAACGCACUGAUAGACAUGUUUGCAAAGUGUGGCGAUGUUGAUAAAGCCACCAAACUGUUCGGACAAAUGGAGUCACGCACCAUAGUUUCAUGGACUUCAGUAAUAGCUGGUUAUGCGAUGCACGGUCGUGGUUUAGAUGCUGUUUCUCUAUUUGACAAAAUGGUUGAAAAUGGAAUAACACCUGACGAUGUUGCUUUCAUUGGCGUGCUCUCUGCUUGUAGUCACUCGGGGCUUGUUGACAGAGGAAGAGCUUAUUUCAAAUCAAUGGAAAGGAAUUUCAACAUUGUGCCAAAGAUAGAACACUAUGGAUGCAUGGUGGAUUUGUUUUGUAGAGGGGGAUUUGUUAAAGAAGCAUUUGAGUUUGUUCAAAAGAUGCCUUUUGAACCAAACCAAAUCAUAUGGAGAACCAUAAUCACUGCUUGUCAUGCAAGUGGAGAACUCAAGCUUGGAGAGAGUAUCUCCGAAGAGCUAAUAAAAAAGGAGCCGAUGCACGAGUCUAAUUACGUUUUACUGUCGAACAUUUAUGCAAAAUUGCGACAAUGGGAGAAGAAGACUAAGGUGAGGGAGAUAAUGGAUAUGAGAGGGAUGAAGAAGGUUCCAGGGAGUACCAUGAUUGAGGUAAACAAUGAAAUGCAUGAGUUUGUUGCCGGUGAUAAGUCUCAUGAUCAGUAUAAGGAGAUAUAUGAAAUGGUGGAUGAGAUGGGAAGGGAAAUCAAAAGGGCAGGGUAUGUUCCUACAACAUCUCAAGUGUUGCUUGACAUCGAUGAUGAAGAUAAAGAAGAUGCUUUGCAUAGACAUAGUGAGAAGCUUGCCAUAGCUUUUGCUCUUUUGAACACUCCCCCUGGAACAUCCAUUAGGCUUGUGAAGAACUUGCGUGUUUGUGAAGAUUGUCACUCUGCUACUAAGUUUAUAUCUAAGGUUUAUAAUCGAGAGAUCAUUGUCCGGGACCGCAAUCGAUUUCACCAUUUCAAGAAUGGUCUGUGCUCUUGUAGAGACUUUUGGUAAUUGAAAAUUGAUUAGAACCUCAAAGAUUCUGUGUUCAUUUGCUGAAAAUUAAUAGUGUCUUCUACUGAUGUCAAAACAUGGAUGUUGUCCUCGGUUGGUGACUAUCCUUUUACAAAUGAAAAACAAAGCUCCAUUGAAAGUGCAAUUCCUGACGUUUAUAUGUUCAACAAAUUCCUCAGCUUCACCACCCCCUAGACUUCCCAGACUGCAUCAAAAUAUAAGGUAUGGCAGUACCCCUAGCUUAUCAGCAACAAUCAUUCUAAAUUUUGAACAAAGCUUUAUAUAUACUUUGACAUACCUAAUGCCAUGAGUCUUAGUAGGUCCACAAGUAACUCGAGUGAUAUUGAUGAAUUGUGAGCCACCUUUAAUAGUAAUGCAAUCAUCACCUAUAUAGUAAAGUAAAAUUCAUGUAUAACUAGAUAUUGGAAUCCUAAAAUAAUUUAAAAGAAACAACAUUCUAACAAACUGGAGUUUGGCAACAAAAACAAUCUCUGAUUUAUGACUAUUUUAGUUAGAGAUCAAUCUUAGUUAACCAACUUAGUUUGUGAAAAUGAUAGUUUAAGAAUGAGGGUUAAUUUUUUUUUUUUUUUGUGGUUUAGCCAACCAGUUCCGAUCCACAUAGUGAACCGACUAAUCUGGUUUCGAGGGACAACUCACUGACCAAGCCUUAUUUCCACCAAUAAUCGAACUCGGGUAGUACCCGAACGAUUCGUCCUUAGUGGAAGCUCAUUUCCCACUAGAGCCCAAGCACUUGGUUAAAUGAGGGUUCAUGUUAAAUACAUAAUAUAUUUACCACUUUGUAUUGUAGAGUUGUGAACAUUACCUCGAACGGAGUUUGAAAGAUCAUUUCCAUCCGUGUUGUGGCUAUCUGCUGACGAACUUAUGUUAACAUGUGAGAUUGUUACAUCUUGACUGUGGACUACAUAUAUAUGAAAUCUUGGUCCGUUUAAAUGAGUGAGGCCACUUAAUUAAAACCUGUCACAUCUUUUAAGGGAAUUUCUUAUUUCAUCCCAUGUUUUUCCAGUGCACCACGCGAAAUUUCAAAAAUGUUCCUGAAAAUCAGAAAUAUAUUUCCGGUUCGCACCCCACACACAUAAUUCAUUCGUUUUUGAGUUUCGCCCCAUUUUACGUUAAAAAUUAUUCCAAAAAUAAUCUUUCGGUACAAAUAACCACCUAUAAGGAGAACACGAGUUGCAAAUUCUUCUUGACCAUUACCUUCAAAGAUGUUGAAACUCCUUCAAAUGAUGCACCACUGAAUCACAACCAAACCUCAUGUGAAAACCAGUCCAACUCAAACUCGUCUGCCACGCUUCUUCUGCUAUAGGACAACAAAAAAUGGGUGCAAAGAAGUUUCUUCAAUACCAAUAUACAACGAAUAUAUUAAGUUAUGGCUACAAUUUAAUACCCAUCACAUUUCUAAUUCAAAUCUAGUUGGAAGCCUAUUUUGUAAAAACCUCCGAGCAAACAUUUGAUAUUUACUUGAGAUUUUUUCUACAAGACUAUAAUUCUCUAAAUAAAUUGUCAUCCAAGUAGGAACAUGCAUUCACAAUCUCUUCCAUCCUAAAAUAAAAACCUAGAAGAGUUUUGCUCCGUAUCAUUUUCCACAUAUUAAUCCAGAGCACUCAUGUCCUUGAUAGCCUCUUCUACUCCUAAAUCCACUUUCCCGAAAACCUCACAGUUCCAAGAUCUCAACCCAGCUUUCAACAAUUUGAGCUUUUAUUUAAACAUAAAAACCCUCUUACCUCACACCUGGGCUUUAUUCUAACACUCGUCCACCACAAAAACAACUCACGGUUCUCAAACAAACAAGUGAAAACCCUAAAAGGUUCCACCACAAAAACAACUCACGGUUUUCAAACAAACAAGUGAAAACCCUAAAAGGUUUAAGAUCGUAAUUGGUUUGAUUAACCCUGAUCCAAAUUGGACAGUGAUAUGAAACUUUUCUAUUAGCAAGUAGCAGGAAGAGUAAUUAUUUACAAUAUAGUAUGAUGUACCCUUCCAUUCCAAUUGAAUCCCCACACAACCUUCACAUACGGAAUUGAACUUAACCUCAAAAGUACAUGCUUUCCACAUUAAAAUGAGACCUUAGAGCUUCCAAUAUGCUAUUUAGCCAUCCAUUCCAUGUUCUAGUUUUCCAACAUUGAGAACACACACGAUUCCUCUAUACUUCGCAUCUUAGUUUCUUGUAACAAACAGAUCCACCAUUCCUUUAGUGAUCAAUUGUUAGAUGCACUUUCUCUUGAUAGAGUUACAACACCCCAUAAUGUUAUAAGAAAGAAUAUUCAUUUAACACCCUUUGACUUGUCUUCCUUCAUUCUACGCUCUUCUUGACCUCGUUUCUCCAAUCCUAUGAUUUUAACUAUAUACGUACUAUUUUCGUCUUUGCGUCUACUCCAAAAUUCUUUGCCUUCUUCCAAACCUUGGUUGCCACAUCCUCUUCCCACUUCCCCCAAAAUCUUCUAUUUCCCUAAAUGACGUCGAAAUAAGAAGUGGAAUCACAACACAAAGCCGAACCACUUAAUGAAAAGGAUCAACAUGGUACAUUUUGAAGAGUUAAGAAAGCAAUAUGAACAUUUUUUAAGUUAAGGGACUAAAAUGUACUCCAAGAUAAUAUACGAGACUAAAAAAUGUAUUUUGCCUAAAA
RNA transcript from Vicia villosa (hairy vetch), 4498 nucleotides. It is a transcript of the gene named pentatricopeptide repeat-containing protein At4g21065-like, with no coding region annotated. The record is from RefSeq and is a predicted model, not a curated record. The transcript is spliced from 3 exons. Lineage: Eukaryota; Viridiplantae; Streptophyta; Magnoliopsida; Fabales; Fabaceae.